Molecule: long non-coding RNA, 10971 nt
Filed under: Vitis vinifera (wine grape)
Lineage: Eukaryota; Viridiplantae; Streptophyta; Magnoliopsida; Vitales; Vitaceae
Description: long non-coding RNA (VVIN_LNC001146)
Source: RNAcentral
AAGGAACAUUAGGGUUUUGCGGCAGGCGUCGAGCUUCCACUCUCAGGUACUUCAGAAGAGCGUUCCUCGCCGCCAUUGAGAGUGUUUGAUGAGGGAGGGAGAAAGUGCGAGAAAGUGUGGGAAAGUGCGAGAAUGUGAGAGAACAGCUGCCUCGGAUGAAAUUGAAGUAUCAUCGGCGAUCUCGAGGUUUUGUGUAAAUUUGGAUGUAUUAUAUUUUCAUCCCUUGUUUUUUCUCUAACUACAAAAUCCUCCCCAAAAUUUUUUAAUAAACCUAAAUUAAUUUUUUUUAAAUAUUUUAUAAUAUUAUCACAUUAAAUUUUUAAAAAUUGUUUUUUCACACAAAAAGGUUUCUAUACAUUUAAUAGUGAAUAUGGGAACAAAAUUUCAGAAAUAAUUUUAAUAUAUUCAUUUCAAAAUAUUUUAAAAAUUAAAUUAUUUGUAUUUUUUAAAAUAAUGAAAAAAUAACUUUUAGAAGAAUAUAAGGGUUUGUUUGAUAAUUAUUUUCGAAAAUAAAUCCGAAAAAUAGUUUUUACAAAUAGUUCUCUAUAUUUUGUAGAAUAAAGGUCUGUUUGAAACUUAAAAUAUUUUAAACAUGUUUUUAAUAUUUUUAAACAUGUUUUAAAAAUAAUUUUUAUAUUUAUUGUUUUUAAUUUUAAUCAUUUUACAUGUUUAUAUAAUUAUUUUUAAAAAACAAUCAUUAAAAAAAAAGUCAAAAUAUAUAAAACAACUAAAAGAUGUUGUGAAAACAAAAAAAAAAAAAAUGGUUUUUGGUUGUCAAAAGUAUUUUCUUGUUUUUUGUUCUGAAAAACUGUUCUCGAAAACACUUACCAAAUAAACCCUAAAUGCCCUAUUUUUUUUAAAAACAAACAUGUAUCGAUUAAAAUAAGAAUCGUUUUGAAAUUUUUUGGUAAAAGUAUUUCAAAUAUAGCAUUUUUCAAAAAAAAUAUUUUAAAUUAUUAAGAAAUGUUUCUAAUCCCAUAAAAGUUUGUUCAUAUUUAAUUAAUAAUAUAAUUUGUUGUUUCAUUUUGUAGAACCUCGGGCACUAUCAACUCUCCUAAAAACAAUUGUAGUUACAAAAAUAACCUAGCCUAUUCCCCUAAAAGCAAUUGUUAUUAUGAAAAUACCUUAUUCUUAUGGUGCAUUUACCCAUGUGUCCAUGACAUUCAAACAUAAACAGAAUUGAUGAAUGUGACCACCCUNNNNNNNNNNNNNNNNNNNNNNNNNNNNNNNNNNNNNNNNNNNNNNNNNNNNNNNNNNNNNNNNNNNNNNNNNNNNNNNNNNNNNNNNNNNNNNNNNNNNGAUGAAUUGAUGAACAACAUUUGUUUUUAAGAAAAUUGGUAAUAUAUAUUGUCAAGGGGAGAUUGUUGACAAAUUAAAGGGUGGUCACAUUCAUCAAUUCUGUUUAUGUUUGAAUGUCAUGGACACAUGGGUAAAUGCACUAUAAGAAUAAGGUAUUUUCAUAAUAACAAUUGCUUUUAAGGGAAUAGGCUAGGUUAUUUUUGUAAUUACAAUUGUUUUUAGGAGAGUUGAUAGUGCCCGAGGUUCUACAAAAUGAAAUAACAAAUUAUAUUAUUAAUUAAAUAUGAACAAACUUUUAUGGGAUUAGAAACAUUUCUUAAUAAUUUAAAAUAUUUUUUUUGGAAAAUGCUAUAUUUGAAAUACUUUUACCAAAAAAUUUCAAAACGAUUCUUAUUUUAAUCGAUACAUGUUUGUUUUUUUAAAAAAUAGGACAUUUAGGGUUUAUUUGGUAAGUGUUUUCGAGAACAAUUUUUCAGAACAAAAAACAAGAAAAUACUUUUGACAACCAAAAACCAUUUUUUUUUGUUGUUUUUACAACAUCUUUUAGUUGUUUUAUAUAUUUUGACUUUUUUUUUAAUGAUUGUUUUUUAAAAAUAAUUAUAUAAACAUGUAAAAUGAUUAAAAUUAAAAACAAUAAAUAUAAAAAUUAUUUUUAAAACAUAUUUAAAAAUAUUAAAAACAUGUUUAAAAUAUUUUAAGUUUCAAACAUACCUUUAUUCUACAAAAUAUAGAGAACUAUUUGUAAAAACUAUUUUUCGGAUUUAUUUUCGAAAAUAAUUAUCAAACAAACCCUUAUAUUCUUCUAAAAGUUAUUUUUUCAUUAUUUUAAAAAAUACAAAUAAUUUAAUUUUUAAAAUAUUUUGAAAUGAAUAUAUUAAAAUUAUUUCUGAAAUUUUGUUCCCAUAUUCACUAUUAAAUGUAUAGAAACCUUUUUGUGUGAAAAAACAAUUUUUAAAAAUUUAAUGUGAUAAUAUUAUAAAAUAUUUAAAAAAAAUUAAUUUAGGUUUAUUAAAAAAUUUUGGGGAGGAUUUUGUAGUUAGAGAAAAAACAAGGGAUGAAAAUAUAAUACAUCCAAAUUUACACAAAACCUCAAGAGAUACUUCAAUUUCAUCCGAGGCAGCUGUUCUCUCACAUUCUCGCACUUUCUCCCUCCCUCAUCAAACACUCUCAAUGGCGGCGAGGAACGCUCUUCUGAAGUACCUGAGAGUGUAAGCUCGACGCCUGCCGCAAAACCCUAAUGUUCCUUUCCAACUAUCUUUCAAUUUGAUACGACGCCAUUUCUCCGAGGAGAUCAGAGGAACUUUCCUCGAUAAAUCUGAGGUCACGGAUCGAGUAAUCUCCGUCGUCAAGAACUUCCAGAAAGUGGAUCCUUCUAAGGUAUAAAAGUUUCAUUUGCGAGAUAUUGUUUUGUUUGCUGUAUGUUUGGAUAGUGAGAAAACUCAGGAAUAAAAACAAAAAUGAUAUUUUUUUAUGAUUUGUUUUAGCUUGGAUUUUGAAAGCUAGUGAGUUCUGUUGUUUCUGUGCGAAGAUUUCUUUUUCGUUGAUGAUAACUUAAAAAGAAAAGAGUUUCCCGAAAUAUAGAGGAAUGCCUGGAUUAAAGUAAAUGACUGGUUUAGGCUCAUUUGAGUUUAGAUUUUAGGAUUUGAUUUCUUUACCAUUCUGCUUGUUUACCCUGUAACCAACCGGAGUAUUGAUUGAAAUUUUGGGGGGGGAAGAAAAGAAAAUAUAUAUUUUUUAUUUAAAAAAUGUGAAGUUGAAAAAAUCCUGGAAAAGAAUGGAAAUAGUUUUAGACUUUUCUGCGUCUCAUCUGUUUUGCCAGCAUCGGAAUGGGGCUUUGUCUAAUUGUGUUUUGGAAGGUGAAAUUAGGGUUUCUGUUUGGAAAUUGGUUGAAAUGAUACAGCAUUGGGGUGUGGCAACUUAGGGUUUCUGUUUGGAAAUCAUUAAUGUUUGGAUAAUGAUUUGCACAAAUUUUAGGCACCUCCUUUUACUCAGUCAACUAAUUGAUGGAUGAGUCUAGGUUUUUGCUUUCUUGGGUCCUUGAUAAUAUAAAUCUAUGAUUGAUCACAUAUAGUGAUGGUCAUCAUCUAAGAUUCAGCAUUUUGUUUUUUCUUCUAUUUUCCCACAUUUUUGAGAAACCAAAUGGAGUAUUAGUAGUUAUGUUCUGGAAAACUGACUAGUGGGGUCUGAGUUUUUGUACAUAAUAUGAAGCUCCUCAUGAGGAUAUUUGAUAAAAUGAAUAGUUGCUUACAUUUUUUUAGGUAAAAAUUUAAGUUAUAAAAAGCCUGAAUUCUAGAAUCUGAAUGACUCGUAGAUUAAACUCAAUUAGUAAUGAGUUUGUAUCCUAAUCACCAUGCAAGAGACAUAAAUUUACAUUCUUCAAGAGAGUUUUGAUGGAAUCCCAAAAGAGUAAAAGGACUUAAGGCCCUCUUUGGGAACUGUUAUUGAAAACAGUUUUCUAAUUUAGAAAACAUGUUUGAUAAACUUUUGAGAAAAAAAAAAAACAGCUUUUAAAGAAUUUGUUCUGAGGUGUUUCAGUUUUUUUUUUUUUUUUUUUUAUAGUAUUUUUGCAACAAUUGAAAAUAUGGAGUAUACUUUGAGAACUUUUACAUUGUAUAUAAGUGUAUAAUAUCUUCAUGGAAAUGGAGAAUAACUAGAAAAAAAAAUGUUUUUCAUAUUUAAGUUCUCAAACAGAAUUUUGUUUGAGCCCCUUUUGCUCUCCCUCACUCCCCGAAUCAGAGUUUUUGCCAGAUGUUGAUCCACCGCCAUCGCCAAAUCCUUACAAACGCCCUUCACCUCCGCCACUUCUCCCAAUCUGCUGCCGCCGCGGUUCUCCAGGACCCCCUUGAACCACCACCGCUUACGUACCUGGAAGGCUUCCCUAGACCCGAUCCCAAAUUCGCAGAAAUCAUACGCGCCAUCCCUCGCACCAUCUCCGGCAAGAACAUCUCUGCCAAGGAGCGGAAAGUCGGCCGCGUCCCCAGCAUUGUGUUCGAGCAAGAAGACGGUCAACACGGCGGCAACAAGCGACUCAUUUCUGUGCGGACCAACCAGAUUCGGAAGCUCGUCAACCACCUGGGCCGGUCUUUCUUUUUGUCGCGUUUGUUUGAUCUCGAAGUCGGACCCGAUUUUGAGUCCAAUGAGGUCAUCGAGAAAGUUCGGGUUUUGCCUCGAAAGGUACGGUUUUCAGAUGUUCUGUUUGGUUUUUUGAAACUUGUUGAUCGGAAAUUGGGCCUCAUUAUUUGGAAUUUCUGUUUCCUGCGAUAUUUUCAGCUUCAUCUGCAUGCAGGCACGGAUGCAGUGCUUAAUGUGACCUUUAUAAGGGCCCCUUCUCACGCAUUAUUGAAGGUUGAUGUUCCUCUUGUUUUUAGGGGAGAAGAUGUGUCUCCUGGAUUGAAAAAAGGUAACGCAUUUUGACACGUAUCAAGUGUUUGUAGUUUUGACCGCUCGAGAUUUGAUUCUAAUAAAAACACAAGUAAGUCAACUUUGGUUAAUUAUAUGUCAUGCUUGGUGAAUACAGAAUAGCUGUAGCAAUUCAACACUGUGAGGUUGUGAAACAACAAUACAAAUGGGGGUGUUUAGUCUUGAUGUAUAAAGGGAGAUAGAGUUGUGGGUUUCCUCAAGAUUAAUUUUCUUUGGACAUACUGUCAAAUAUUUAAAAUGAAGUUGGAGUUGAAGUUGGUUCUUUGUGUAGAGUAGAUGGAGUCAUGCUAAUGAAGACUUUGAAUCUUAACCCACUAUUUUGGCAUAUACAAGCCAUAUCCACCCAAAGCAUGAAAAUUUUCUAAUUGUAGCUAAAUCCUCUUUUGCAUUUGUCUCCAUGUUCUACCACCUUUGGCUUGGUUUACUGGAACAUGAUUGAACCUUCUCAACUGUCACCCCAUUAUGUAUGAGGAGUUGGAGACUUGAAGUUACUUCUAGAAUUCCACUUCUGCUCCUAACUACUUGGUUUGGCUAAUAGGUCACUUUUGAGCAUAGGUUUUACUAGGGCUGAUGCAAAAAAUGAAAUCCUCAGAUGCCAAAGAUGUUGGAAGCUUAGUUCAAGGGAAGAACUAUCUAUCUUAGGUAUUGGGUGAGUUGUUGUGAUUUUACCUAGGCAGGAUGUUUAGUGGUGACAUUAUUGGUGGGACUCUAGGUGUAUGGGAGAGCCUACUAGCUUUGCCAUGAGGCUAGUUGUGGCCUUACUUGGAUAUAUGUUAUGUGGUAAGGUUCAUCCAUUAAGUUACAUUGAGCCUUAAAAUAAUCCCAAUGUGGUUCUUCAUCACAGAUUCUUUUUCUUCACCAUUACAACUUCUCAUCAGCCAGAAUGAGAUGAUGUGAAUGAGGUAUGCAUAAAAGGUUUGAAGGAAAGAUGAAAAGAUUUGGGUAUAUGGGAAACACAUAUUGAAACAAUGAUGUACAAAGUAAUGACCAAGCAAUUUUAUUUCUUCAAUAAGGUUCAAUUCAGUCAACAACCUUAGAGCUGUUAGAGAUGAUGAUGGGAAACUGGUCCUGGUGAACUAGGAGAAUUGAUCGAAUUGGUGUUUAGACUUAAUAAAUUCAGUCCCAUCUUUUUUAUUAUUGGACUAUGGUGCAUGGCACGUCCCAUGCAUGUGAAAUGAAAGAAGUGAUACUUGAAAAGAAGCCCUUGUAAACACAGUAGUUAUUAGUAGGAAUUCACACCUUACAAUUUAUCUUUGUCAAGACUGCUCUUGCCAAGAGGAGAGUUCUUUGUCGGUAUCCUUCAUUCUAUUUAGUUCAGAGGUAAUGCCCCUGAAUUUGUCCAGAAUUUAGGUUGAAUGUUUGCUACUCUUAAACAAAUAUUUUUGUGUUUUGGAGCCUGCCAGUGUGGCCCAAUUGGUUAGGGUGAAUGCUAGGAUGUGUGGUGGAGGCGCAUGGCCCCUGGUUUAAAUCCUGUUGUUGGUUUAAUUCCCUGAUUUACUUGGUGCUGGUUGUUGCGAGUGUGGUCAGUGCCCUAAGGUUUGGGUACUCAUGUAGAGUGCUAACGGCUUGUCCAUGGAAGGUUCCUUGAUCAUCAAAAUAUAAAUAUAUAUAUUUGUGUUUUGGUUGUUUUGAUUGAUUAUUGUUGAUCUAACUAUGGAGUACAUGUUUGCUUUAUGCUUUGACAGGGGCAUAUUUGAAUACCAUAAAAAGGACUGUUAAGUACCUUUGUCCAGCAGAUAUCAUCCCUCCAUAUAUUGAUGUAGAUCUAAGCGAGUUGGAUGCGGGGCAGAAGAUAGUCAUGGGGGACCUCAAAGUUCAUCCAGCUUUGAAGCUUCUUCGGUCAAAAGAUGAACCAGUUUGUAAGAUUAUGGGAACAAGGGUUUCUGACCAAAGGAAAUCUAAAUAAGCACUUAACGCCAGAUUUUGUUGAGCAAUUCUUAACAAAAGGCCACUUGAUUGAUGCAUCAUUGAGCUAAAGUAUAUUCUUUUGAGUUAGUAAGUUAAUUUCUUGAUUUAGAAAUUACCCAUUGAUAGGAUCAUGGAAUGGUAAUGUGGCCUAUGGUGUUUUCCUUCUUUUUUUGUUUCUAUUUUCGGGGAUAGUGGUGAGGUUGCAGCAGAGAGCAAGGGAUGCCAUUUGAGCUGUUUUUGAUGAUCAAGGGUAGUGACCCUGAAAGAGUCAUCUGUCCUUCAAUGUAGACUCUUGCGUGAAUGGAUUUUGGGAUCAUGCAUGUGUUUUAUGUAGCCUUGAUUAUGUGCUCUCAAUCAUCUAAUGAAUAAUACCUUAUUUCUUCUUUCAUGAUCAUCCCUUAUGUACCCACAAGUUUCAAGUUCUUCAAAAUCAAAGAACAAAACAAUAGUGGUCAAAAGCAAAUUUAUUUAAAUACAAUCCUUUGUAUAAUCCUUGGAUUCGAUCUCCUGAAUUGAUUUUGAUUCAGGUUGCGACCACGUGUAGUUGAGGGUUAAUUAGGUGCAAGUUUUGUCUUGGCUUGAAGAAACAGAGAAAUGAGGCUUGUUUGCUUGAUGCUUUGAUUACUUGUAAAGAUAAUUACAACUUAAAUAUGAUUUUUUUUUUAGAUAUGAUCUUUUUACUUUAUUUGAUAAUUGCUUUUAUUUAUUUUUUGUUUAAUUUGACGACUUCAACCUAAUCUAAAAUAAAAAUAAAAUAAAAUUGGGAAAUUUUAUUAUUAUUAUUUUUUGUGUGUAUGUGUGGGUGUAAAGAUACAAGUUUCUUUUUCUUUUUCCAAAAGAAAAAAAAAAUGUAAAUUUGAAAUUAAAAUUUUGUUCAUUAAAAUUGGUUUAAGAAAAUAAAUCAUAAUUAAUUACUUGAAAUUCAAACGAUGCUUGUUAAAGAAAAUAAAAUAUUAUCCCUAUCAGAUAAUUACAUAAUAAUACUGUAAAACUUAGUGAAAAAAUAAACAAGAAAUUAUUGUCUUUAAAAAGCACUAAAUAAAAUAUAAUUUCUUGAUGAUUGAGUUCUUACCAAUAAAAUUUGAGGUACAUAAAAUGAUGUCCAACUAUAGAAAAUAUUGAAAAAAAUAAUCAAGGAAUUAAAUAAUUAUUAGCACAUUUGCAAAUGUUGAUUUUCUAUAAUUUUAACUUUAUUAAAUUAUUGACUUUUUGGUAAUUUUAGGAAAAAAGAAAAAGAAUUUCUCUUUGAGAUAUGAAAAAAAUGAUAUCCAACUAUAGAAAAUAUUGAAAAAAAUGACAAUGAAGUUAAACAAUUAUUAGCACAUUUGCAAACUAUUGAUAUAUAUUAAUAUUAAUUUUUUAUAAUUAUUAAAUUAUUAAUUUUUCCAAUAUAAAGAAUUUCCAACUCAUUUCACUUACUUUUUAUUUAUUUAUAUAAAUAUUAAAUAAUUUUAAAAUACAUAAAUUUUUAAAUAAUUUUUUGUUUUCUUUUAAAUUUUAUAAAGUGGAAUGUGAGAAAACCAUUUCCCUUAACAUUUUUUUUUCUCUUCUUAAUGUUGUUUGAUAACCAAAUAUAGCUUGAGAAAAUAAUUUUUGCCAUUACUCUUCUCCUUUAGUUAAUACCGGACCAAACAUGGCAACAAGUUCCAGUCAUCAAAUAUGUGCAAUUAAAAUAAAAUAGAAUAAACUUGGUAUAUGGUAUGUAUUAAUGAUAUUAUUAUUAUUAUUUUUUUUAUUUUGACUUUAAUAAACCUAACAAAAAUUGUGAGAAUAUAUUCCUCAUUAUGCACUUAAAUUUUGUUCAUUUCCUUCUUCUUUUUGUUCAAAGUUGGAAACUAUCUACUCUCUCUUCUCUAAAAACAGCAAUUUUUUCGAUUAGGAAAAUGAAAGCUAAUUGGAAAUUAGGGUUUUGCGGCAGGCGUCGAGCUUCCACUCUCAGGUACUUCAGAAGAGCGUUCCUCGCCGCCAUUGAGAGUGUUUGAUGAGGGAGGGAGAAAGUGCGAGAAAGUGUGGGAAAGUGCGAGAAUGUGAGAGAACAGCUGCCUCGGAUGAAAUUGAAGUAUCAUCGGCGAUCUCUUGAGGUUUUGUGUAAAUUUGGAUGUAUUAUAUUUUCAUCCCUUGUUUUUUCUCUAACUACAAAAUCCUCCCCAAAAUUUUUUAAUAAACCUAAAUUAAUUUUUUUUAAAUAUUUUAUAAUAUUAUCACAUUAAAUUUUUAAAAAUUGUUUUUUCACACAAAAAGGUUUCUAUACAUUUAAUAGUGAAUAUGGGAACAAAAUUUCAGAAAUAAUUUUAAUAUAUUCAUUUCAAAAUAUUUUAAAAAUUAAAUUAUUUGUAUUUUUUAAAAUAAUGAAAAAAUAACUUUUAGAAGAAUAUAAGGGUUUGUUUGAUAAUUAUUUUCGAAAAUAAAUCCGAAAAAUAGUUUUUACAAAUAGUUCUCUAUAUUUUGUAGAAUAAAGGUCUGUUUGAAACUUAAAAUAUUUUAAACAUGUUUUUAAUAUUUUUAAAUAUGUUUUAAAAAUAAUUUUUAUAUUUAUUGUUUUUAAUUUUAAUCAUUUUACAUGUUUAUAUAAUUAUUUUUAAAAAACAAUCAUUAAAAAAAAAGUCAAAAUAUAUAAAACAACUAAAAGAUGUUGUGAAAACAAAAAAAAAAAAGGUUUUUGGUUGUCAAAAGUAUUUUCUUGUUUUUUGUUCUGAAAAACUGUUCUCGAAAACACUUACCAAAUAAACCCUAAAUGUCCUAUUUUUUAAAAAAACAAACAUGUAUCGAUUAAAAUAAGAAUCGUUUUGAAAUUUUUUGGUAAAAGUAUUUCAAAUAUAGCAUUUUUCAAAAAAAAUAUUUUAAAUUAUUAAGAAAUGUUUCUAAUCCCAUAAAAGUUUGUUCAUAUUUAAUUAAUAAUAUAAUUUGUUGUUUCAUUUUGUAGAACCUCGGACACUAUCAACUCUCCUAAAAACAAUUGUAGUUACAAAAAUAACCUAGCCUAUUCCCCUAAAAGCAAUUGUUAUUAUGAAAAUACUUUAUUCUUAUAGUGCAUUUACCCAUGUGUCCAUGACAUUCAAACAUAAACAGAAUUGAUGAACGUGACCACCCUUUAAUUUGUCAACAAUCUCCCAUUGACAAUAUAUAUUACCAAUUUUCUUAAAAACAAAUGUUGUCAUGAAAGGCUUAUAUUUUAUUCUUAGGGAGAAUUGUGUUUUGGCCCUAAUUGGGCCAAAAAUUAACAUUUAGUCCAUAUAUCAUGCAUAUUUAAGCUCAAAACCCAAACAAAGUAUGAAAAUUAAGAUGAAGGCUAUUGUAUUUCAUUAAUCCCUAAAAUACCCUUAAUCGUUACAUAGGCACAAAUGAAUGUGAAUUUCAUUUUUUUUUGUGUUUUUUCCCCUUUUUUUUCCCCUAUUAAGUAUUCCUCAUUUUUAACUUUUUUUUUUCUUUUUCUUCUAAUCUAUAUUUCUAUGUUAUAUCAAAUAAAAAGCAAUAAUGUUUUUUUGUUUUUCAUUUUUAAAUAUAUUGAAUCUUUUUACUCUUAUUAUAAGUGUUAGAAAUUUGAGGCUAAUCCAACUUAUGGUAAUCACCCUAGAGGGAGGACGAAUAGGGUGAUGGUCUCUUUUCGCAAAUUUAAACAAGUGAAUGCAAGAGACAAUUAUAUGCAAGUAUAUAAUAAUCGAUAUAUAGACAAUUGCAUAUAAAUUAAAGAGUAGGGAAGAGAGAAUGCAAACACAAGAGUUUAUAGUGGUUCGGCGCAACCCGACCUACAUCCACUCUCCUCUAACUUCAAUCCCGAGCUUGAGGUUCCACUAAUCCAAGGCUUUCAAACCAAGUCUUCAAGCAAUACAAUUGGAUUAUGGUUCCAAUUCACCCUCUUGGACUUUUGGCUCCAAGCACCCUUUACGCUUCUCAAGAGAUAUCCCACUCUUGAACAACCCCUCAAGUGAUACCCCACACUUGAGAAACUUCCUCUCAAAGAUUUACAAAUGAAUGAUCUCUCAAAAAUCCUAGUACAAGAACUUUAAACUCAAAUAAUACAAGAAAAAUUAGGAUUGAAUGAUGCACUAAAGAUAUGCAAGUUUUGAAAUAAUGGUGCGCUCAAAAAUACUAUUCCAAGGCUCAAAUAUAAUCAAGAAAUAUUUGGGAAGGUUAAGCUCUUGAAAUAAUGAAGAUUGAAACCUUUUUAUAGAAGAAAAAAGUCAAACUAGCCGUUGGGGGUUCGACCGGUCGAGCUAGGGGUUCGACCGGUCGAGUUAGGGGUCGACCGGUUGACUAGCUGUUAGCAUUUAAUGCUUGGUAGGUGACCGUUGGGCCUCAACCGAACCUCAACCAGACCUCGACUAGACCUCAACCAGUUGAGGU